AACGAACGCUGGCGGCAUGCCUAACACAUGCAAGUCGAACGAAGUCUUCGGACUUAGUGGCGCACGGGUGCGUAACGCGUGGGAAUCUGCCCUUGGGUGCGGAAUAACUUCUCGAAAGGGAUGCUAAUACCGCAUAAUGUCGUAAGACCAAAGAUUUAUCGCCCAAGGAUGAGCCCGCGUAAGAUUAGCUAGUUGGUGGGGUAAAAGCCUACCAAGGCGACGAUCUUUAGCUGGUCUGAGAGGAUGAUCAGCCACACUGGGACUGAGACACGGCCCAGACUCCUACGGGAGGCAACAGUGGGGAAUAUUGGACAAUGGGCGAAAGCCUGAUCCAGCAAUGCCGCGUGAGUGAUGAAGGCCCUAGGGUUGUAAAGCUCUUUUACCAGGGAUGAUAAUGACAGUACCUGGAGAAUAAGACUCCGGCUAACUCCGUAGCCAGCAGCC
This 444-nucleotide ribosomal RNA is filed under the name uncultured bacterium. Its description in RNAcentral is "bacterial SSU rRNA". It matches the Rfam family "Bacterial small subunit ribosomal RNA", at positions 29 to 516 of the family's 1533-position model. The record is from RNAcentral.